GACGAACGCUGGCGGCGUGCCUAAUACAUGCAAGUAGAACGCUGAAGGAGGAGCUUGCUUCUCUUGAUGAGUUGCGUACGGGUGAGUAACGCGUAGGUAACCUGCCUGGUAGCGGGGGAUAACUAUUGGAAACGAUAGCUAAUACCGCAUAAGAGUAGAUGUUGCAUGACAUUUGCUUAAAAGUUGCAAUUGCAUCACUACCAUAUGUACCUGCGUUGUAUUAGCUAGUUGGUGGGUUAACGGCUCACCAAGGCGACGAUACAUAGCCGACCUGAGAAGGGGAGCGGACACACUGGGACUGAGACACGGCCCAGACACCUACGGGAGGCAGCAGUAGGGAAUCUUAGGCAAUAGACGGAAGUCUGACCGAGCAACGCCGAGUGAGUGAAGAAGGUUUUAGGAUAGUAAAGCGCUGUUGUAAGAGAAGAACGAGAGUGAGAGUGGAAAGGUAACACUGAGAAGGUAUCGUACCAGAAAGAGACGGAUAACUACGUG
This 495-nucleotide ribosomal RNA is filed under the name uncultured bacterium. Its description in RNAcentral is "partial 16S ribosomal RNA". It matches the Rfam family "Bacterial small subunit ribosomal RNA", at positions 28 to 507 of the family's 1533-position model. The record is from RNAcentral.